Molecule: ribosomal RNA, 601 nt
Filed under: uncultured Actinomycetes bacterium
Lineage: Bacteria; Bacillati; Actinomycetota; Actinomycetes
Description: bacterial SSU rRNA
Rfam family: Bacterial small subunit ribosomal RNA
Source: RNAcentral
GUGAGGUAACGGCUCACCAAGGCUUCGACGGGUAGCUGGUCUGAGAGGACGAUCAGCCACACUGGAACUGAGACACGGUCCAGACUCCUACGGGAGGCAGCAGGAGGGAAUAUUGCGCAAUGGGCGAAAGCCUGACGCAGCAACGCCGCGUGAGGGAUGACUGCCUUCGGGUUGUAAACCUCUUUCAGUGGGGACGAAAUUGACGGUACCCACAGAAGAAGCAUCGGCCAACUACGUGCCAGCAGCCGCGGUAAUACGUAGGGUGCAAGCAUUGUCCGGAUUUAUUGGGCGUAAAGAGCUCGUAGGCGGCUUAACAAGUCGGCCGUGAAAUACCGAGGCUCAACCUCGGGGAGUCGGUCGAAACUGUUAUAGCUAGAGUACGGUAGAGGAGAGUGGAAUUCUCGGUGUAGCGGUGGAAUGCGCAGAUAUCGAGAGGAACACCAGUAGCGAAGGCGGCUCUCUGGGUCGUUACUGACGCUGAGGAGCGAAAGCGUGGGGAGCAAACAGGAUUAGAUACCCUGGUAGUCCACGCUGUAAACGUUGGGAACUAGGUGUUGCGGUCUGAUCAAUGACUGCGGUGCCGAAGCUAACGCAUUAAGUU